GCUCUCGUGGUCUAGUAGAAUGAUACGCGCUUUGGGCAAGUCCACUUGUGCGGGGUCCCGGGUUCAAAUCCCGGCGAGGGUC
Molecule: non-coding RNA, 82 nt
Organism: Mycena vitilis
Lineage: Eukaryota; Fungi; Basidiomycota; Agaricomycetes; Agaricales; Mycenaceae
Source: the annotation of a GenBank genome assembly